Molecule: RNA transcript, 2418 nt
Organism: Telopea speciosissima
Lineage: Eukaryota; Viridiplantae; Streptophyta; Magnoliopsida; Proteales; Proteaceae
Gene name: adenylate kinase 5, chloroplastic
Exons: 20
Source: RefSeq, a predicted model, not a curated record
UCCUUGCGUGACAUAUAAUAUGUGACCUCAUAGUUGGCUUUAGUUUUACUGAAUUUCCUGCUCUCACGUAGCUCAGCAGCAAUGGCGCUUUGUUCAGUCACUCUAAUUUUGUACAACAACAGCACUUCCACUCCAUCUUUCGCAACCCUCUCAACGUCCCAUCACCAUCGCUCCUCUUUCUCCUCGUUUCCCUCUCUCUCCCUUAAGUCCCUUUCGAUUCCUCUUUCCUUUCAUCUCCCAUCGUCGGGAUUCUCUUCCACUACUCAUCUGAGGAGAAGUCAUACACUUAAGGGAUUGAGGGCAAAAUGUUCGCUUCGCCAACCGCUGAAGGUGAUGAUAUCGGGGGCACCAGCUUCGGGUAAAGGAAGUCAAUGUGAGCUGAUUGUUCAGAAGUUUGGAUUGGUGCACAUUUCAACUGGAGAUCUUCUUCGAGCUCAAGUAUCAUCUGGCACGGAGAUUGGAAACAAAGCAAAAGAAUAUAUGGAGAGUGGACGUUUGGUUCCCGAUGAAAUUGUCACAGCUAUGGUGAGAUCUCGAUUAUCACAUGAAGAUGCACAAGAAAAAGGGUGGCUUCUUGAUGGGUACCCACGAAGUUCCACCCAGGCACAAAGUCUGGAGCAAAUGAAGAUUAGACCAGACAUAUACAUUGUUUUAGAUGUUCCUGAUGAAAUUCUAAUCGACAGAUGUGUCGGAAGGAGGCUUGAUCCACUUACUGGGAAAAUUUACCAUCUUAAAAAUUUCCCUCCAGAGUCGGAUGAAAUAAAAGCAAGACUUAUAACACGACCUGAUGACACUGCUGAAAAAGCGAAAUCACGGCUAGAAACUUACAAAGAAAAUGCUGAUGCUAUCUCUUCAACAUAUGUCGACUUAAUGACUAAGAUUGAUGGUAACCGUCCAAAAGCAGUUAUUUUUGAGGAAAUAGACUCUCUGCUACUGCAAGUCCAGAAGGAUAAACUAAAGGCGACAAAUUUAGGGAUAGCAGUCAGUGAAAACAAUAGCAACUCAAAUUUGGUGUCUUCUAGCAAGUGCCAGGAUAAUUGGAAAGGAAUCCCUACCCGGUUAAACAACAUUCCCCAUUCUAGAGAAAUAAGGAAAUAUUUCUAUGAUGAUGUGCUAGCAGCUACUCAAAGGGCUAUAAAUGAUGGAAGAGUCAGAUUGAAGGUUGAAAUCCGUAUUCCAGAGCUUAACCCAGAAAUGGAUGUCUACCGAAUUGGUACUCUAAUGGAACUUGUUCGUGUUCUUGCCCUUUCAUUUGCUGAUGAUGGAAAACGUGUCAAGGUUUGUGUUCAAGGAUCUAUGGGAGAGGGUGCACUUGCUGGAAUGCCAUUGCAGCUUGCUGGAACCCGAAAGAUUUUGGAGUUCAUGGACUGGGGGGAUUAUGGUGCUAAGGGGACCUUUAUCAACAUUGGUUCUAUAGGUGCCAAAGAGGUUGAUGAACAGGAUGACAUGUUUAUUUUAGUUGCUCCUCAAAAUGCUGUUGGGAAUUGUAUUAUUGAUGAUCUAAAAGCUAUGACUGAUUCUGCCGGUAACCGCCCUGUCAUUCUUAUCAAUCCUCGGCUCAAGGAUCUGCCUGCCUCUAGUGGAAUCAUGCAAACAAUGGGAAGGGACAAGAGAUUGGAGUAUGCAGCGUCAUUCCAGAGCUGCUAUACCUUCAGGCUUCUUUAUUAUGCAGGCACACAAUAUCCAAUCAUGGGUGCUCUCAGGAUGUCUUACCCGUACCAGUAUGAAGUUUACAAGAGGGUUGAUGAAUCUUCUAGGAAAGAGAAGUAUAUCAUCCUGGCCACAUUCCCUGAAAAUCCUAAUGUUGAUGAAAUUAAUGAUGCAUUCCAAGGAAAGCCAAGAAACCAAGAAAAGAAGGCCUCUGGAAUCUGGGGUUUCUUAAGCGGCAUCCUCUGAAUAUGGAAGGUAUCACAUAUUUUUAGUGGUUUCGUGUGCAGGCCUGUGUCAAAAGGGUAUGUUUAGGGAAAACAUGAUGUCUAAAAGAUGGAUGGCUAUCUAAUUCUACUUGAUACAUAAUACAUAAAUAUCUAAUCUUGAAGGAAUUCUUGGGCAGUGCACUAAAAGCACUCAGGGAGGAUGUCUGAUGUUCACAUGUUUCACCAUGAGAUAUUUCAGGGUGGGUGUCCGGCUUGUAAUUUUUCAUCAGGAUUUCUCUCAUUCUCAAGGAGCUUUUGAUAUCAAGUGCGCAACAUGUAAACAAUUUCCCCUGUAAAUUCUGCAUUGUCUUUUUUAUCAUUAAAUGCAUAUUAGCUUAAACCUUAACAAAUUUUAGUCAACACAAUUACAAUUAUAAUUUUAUCUCUUUCUAGGGCGUUACAUGAACUGAUCCCAUGAAUAUUGUCUGCAUCAAUUGCUGUGACAUAAACAAACCAGAUUAGUGUUAGGCACUAGUCAAUGCAAGCUUGAAUUGGCUUAAAA